Molecule: transfer RNA, 84 nt
Filed under: Xylaria sp. FL1042
Lineage: Eukaryota; Fungi; Ascomycota; Sordariomycetes; Xylariales; Xylariaceae
Description: tRNA-Pro
Rfam family: tRNA
About the family: Transfer RNA (tRNA) molecules are approximately 80 nucleotides in length. Their secondary structure includes four short double-helical elements and three loops (D, anti-codon, and T loops). Further hydrogen bonds mediate the characteristic L-shaped molecular structure. tRNAs have two regions of fundamental functional importance: the anti-codon, which is responsible for specific mRNA codon recognition, and the 3' end, to which the tRNAs corresponding amino acid is attached (by aminoacyl-tRNA synthetases). tRNAs cope with the degeneracy of the genetic code in two manners: having more than one tRNA (with a specific anti-codon) for a particular amino acid; and 'wobble' base-pairing, i.e. permitting non-standard base-pairing at the 3rd anti-codon position.
Source: RNAcentral
GGCUCAAUGGUCUAGUGGUAUGAUUCUCGCUUUGGGCUAUACCUAGAAUGCGAGAGGCCCCGGGUUCGAAUCCCGGUUGAGCCC